This 68-nucleotide transfer RNA is filed under the name uncultured Prevotella sp. It matches the Rfam family "tRNA". From Rfam's summary of the family: Transfer RNA (tRNA) molecules are approximately 80 nucleotides in length. Their secondary structure includes four short double-helical elements and three loops (D, anti-codon, and T loops). The record is from RNAcentral. Lineage: Bacteria; Pseudomonadati; Bacteroidota; Bacteroidia; Bacteroidales; Prevotellaceae.
GGUAAUAGCUCAGUUGGUAGAGCACAAGCUUCCCAAGCUUGGGGUCACGGGUUCGAACCCCGCUUACC